This 253-nucleotide ribosomal RNA is filed under the name uncultured bacterium. RNAcentral's name for it is "partial 16S ribosomal RNA". It matches the Rfam family "Bacterial small subunit ribosomal RNA", at positions 524 to 776 of the family's 1533-position model. The record is from RNAcentral.
UACGUAGGGUGCAAGCGUUGUCCGGAAUUAUUGGGCGUAAAGAGCUCGUAGGCGGUCUGUCACGUCGGCUGUGAAAACCCGAGGCUCAACCUCGGGCCUGCAGUCGAUACGGGCAAACUAGAGUACUGCAGGGGAGACUGGAAUUCCUGGUGUAGCGGUGAAAUGCGCAGAUAUCAGGAGGAACACCGGUGGCGAAGGCGGGUCUCUGGGCCGUAACUGACGCUGAGGAGCGAAAGCGUGGGGAGCGAACAGG